GAGAGAGAGAUGAGCAAUGCGCUCUGCUGAAGGACCAGCUGCACAGGGCCUCACAGGAGGGCGAUCGGUCCACGGCGGAGCUGCUGCAGGAGCUGCAGGAGGUCAAAGGUGAAGCGGCCGCCACCAAAGAGGAGCUGAACAGCUUCCGGGAGCGCAGCCUCAAACUGCAGGAGGACAUCGAGGUCAGAGACGCGUCCAUCGCUGAGCUGAAGGACAGAGUUCAGGAGCUCCAGACUGCUUUGGCCAAAUCCAGCGAGGAGCUGCUACAACAGACACCUCCC
Molecule: long non-coding RNA, 281 nt
Organism: Cyprinus carpio (common carp)
Lineage: Eukaryota; Metazoa; Chordata; Actinopteri; Cypriniformes; Cyprinidae
Exons: 3
Source: RefSeq, a predicted model, not a curated record